ACGGGAGGCAGCAGUGAGGAAUAUUGGGCAAUGGGCGCAAGCCUGACCCAGCGACGCCGCGUGUGGGAUGACAGGGCUCUGCCUUGUAAACCACUGUCGGGUGGGACGAAAAGCGAGCUUCGGUUCGCCGGGACGGUACCACCAGAGGAAGGGUCGGCUAACUACGUGCCAGCAGCCGCGGUAAUACGUAGGACCCAAGCGUUAUCCGGAUUCACUGGGUGUAAAGGGUGUGUAGGCGGGCGUGCGCGUCUGGGGUGAAAGGUUCCGGCUCAACCGGAAACAUGCCUUGGAUACGGCACGUCUUGGGUGCGGGAGAGGACGGUGGAAUUCCUGGUGUAGCGGUGAAAUGCGUAGAUAUCAGGAGGAACACCAGUGGCGAAGGCGGCCGUCUGGCCCGCAACCGACGCUGAAACACGAAAGCGUGGGGAUCAAACAGGAUUAGAUACCCUGGUAGUCCACGCCCUAAACGAUGCAUGCUUGGUGUCGGCGCCUUGAGCGUCGGUGCCGUAGGUAACCCGGUAAGCAUGCCACCUGGGAAGUACG
This 543-nucleotide ribosomal RNA is filed under the name uncultured bacterium. Its description in RNAcentral is "bacterial SSU rRNA". It matches the Rfam family "Bacterial small subunit ribosomal RNA", at positions 341 to 884 of the family's 1533-position model. The record is from RNAcentral.